RNAcentral lists this ribosomal RNA (274 nucleotides) under uncultured bacterium. RNAcentral's name for it is "partial 16S ribosomal RNA". It matches the Rfam family "Archaeal small subunit ribosomal RNA", at positions 473 to 747 of the family's 1478-position model. The record is from RNAcentral.
AAACCAGCACCUCAAGUGGUCAGGAUGAUUAUUGGGCCUAAAGCAUCCGUAGCCUGUUCUGUAAGUUUCCGGUUAAAUCCAUUAGCUCAACUAAUGGGCCGCCGAAAAUACUGCAAAACUAGGGAGUGGGAGAGGUAGACGGUACUCGGUAGGAAGGGGUAAAAUCCUUUGAUCUAUUGAUGACCACCUGUGGCGAAGGCGGUCUACCAGAACACGUUCGACGGUGAGGGAUGAAAGCUGGGGGAGCAAACCGGAUUAGAAACCCGAGUAGUCC